RNAcentral lists this ribosomal RNA (459 nucleotides) under Escherichia coli. RNAcentral's name for it is "bacterial SSU rRNA". It matches the Rfam family "Bacterial small subunit ribosomal RNA", at positions 338 to 795 of the family's 1533-position model. The record is from RNAcentral. Lineage: Bacteria; Pseudomonadati; Pseudomonadota; Gammaproteobacteria; Enterobacterales; Enterobacteriaceae.
CCUACGGGAGGCUGCAGUAGGGAAUAUUGGGCAAUGGGCGGAAGCCUGACCCAGCCAUGCCGCGUGCAGGAAGAAGGCGUUAUGCGUUGUAAACUGCUUUUUUAUAGGAAGAAGGAUCCCUUGCGAGGGAAGGUGACGGUACUAUAAGAAUAAGCACCGGCUAACUCCGUGCCAGCAGCCGCGGUAAUACGGAGGGUGCAAGCGUUGUCCGGAUUUAUUGGGUUUAAAGGGUGCGUAGGCGGUUUAUUAAGUCAGUGGUGAAAGACGGUCGCUCAACGAUUGCAGUGCCAUUGAUACUGGUAGACUUGAGUGAGAUUGAGGUAGCUGGAAUGGAUAGUGUAGCGGUGAAAUGCAUAGAUAUUAUCCAGAACACCGAUUGCGAAGGCAGGUUACUAAGUCUUAACUGACGCUGAGGCACGAAAGUGUGGGGAUCAAACAGGAUUAGAUACCCGUGUAGUC